AUCCUGGCUCAGAUUGAACGCUGGCGGCAGGCCUAACACAUGCAAGUCGAGCGGUAACAGGAAUUAGCUUGCUAAUUCGCUGACGAGCGGCGGACGGGUGAGUAAUGCCUGGGAAUAUGCCUUAGUGUGGGGGAUAACUAUUGGAAACGAUAGCUAAUACCGCAUAAUGUCUUCGGACCAAAGAGGGGGAUCUUCGGACCUCUCGCGCUAAGAUUAGCCCAGGUGAGAUUAGCUAGUUGGUGAGGUAAGAGCUCACCAAGGCGACGAUCUCUAGCUGGUCUGAGAGGAUGAUCAGCCACACUGGAACUGAGACACGGUCCAGACUCCUACGGGAGGCAGCAGUGGGGAAUAUUGCACAAUGGGCGAAAGCCUGAUGCAGCCAUGCCGCGUGUAUGAAGAAGGCCUUCGGGUUGUAAAGUACUUUCAGUCGUGAGGAAGGGUGUGUAGUUAAUAGCUGCAUAUCUUGACGUUAGCGACAGAAGAAGCACCGGCUAACUCCGUGCCAGCAGCCGCGGUAAUACGGAGGGUGCGAGCGUUAAUCGGAAUUACUGGGCGUAAAGCGCAUGCAGGUGGUUCAUUAAGUCAGAUGUGAAAGCCCGGGGCUCAACCUCGGAACCGCAUUUGAAACUGGUGAACUAGAGUGCUGUAGAGGGGGGUAGAAUUUCACGUGUAGCGGUGAAAUGCGUAGAGAUCUGAAGGAAUACCAGUGGCGAAUGCGGCCCCCUGGACAGACACUGACACUCAGAUGCGAAAGCGUGGGGAGCAAACAGGAUUAGAUACCCUGGUAGUCCACGCCGUAAACGAUGUCUACUUGGAGUUGUGGCCUUGAGCCGUGGCUUUCGGAGCUAACGCGUUAAGUAGACCGCCUGGGGGAGUACGGUCGCAAGAUUAAAACUCAAAUGAAUUGACGGGGCCCGCACAGCGGUGGAGCAUGUGGUUUAAUCGAUGCAACGCGAAGAACCUUACCUACUCUGACAUCUACAGAAUUCGCUAGAGAAUAGCUUAUGCUUCGGAACUGUAAACGGUG
RNAcentral lists this ribosomal RNA (1027 nucleotides) under uncultured Vibrio sp. RNAcentral's name for it is "bacterial SSU rRNA". It matches the Rfam family "Bacterial small subunit ribosomal RNA", at positions 16 to 1040 of the family's 1533-position model. Lineage: Bacteria; Pseudomonadati; Pseudomonadota; Gammaproteobacteria; Vibrionales; Vibrionaceae. The record is from RNAcentral.